AGAGUUUGAUCCUGGCUCAGAACGAACGCUGGCGGCGUGGAUAAGACAUGCAAGUCGAGCGAGAUUUCUUUCUGUAGCAAUACAGGAGGAAGUCUAGCGGCGAACGGGUGCGUAACACGUGGGCAAUCUGCCAAGAAGUGGGGGACAGCUCGGCGAAAGCCGGAUUAAUACCGCAUAUGAUCAGGGGAGACAUCUUCCCGAAAUCAAAGGUGGCGCAAGCUACCGCUUUUUGAUGGGCCCGCGGCCUAUCAGCUUGUUGGUGAGGUAACGGCUCACCAAGGCGAUGACGGGUAGCUGGUCUGAGAGGACGACCAGUCACACUGGGACUGAGACACGGCCCAGACACCUACGGGUGGCAGCAGUCGAGAAUUUUUCUCAAUGGGGGAAACCCUGAAGGAGCGACGCCGCGUGGAGGAUGAAGGUCUUCGGGUUGUAAACUCCUGUCAUUUGGGAACAAUGGUUACGCGUUAACUGCGCGUGACUUGAUAGUACCAGAAGAGGAAGAGACGGCUAACUCUGUGCCAGCAGCCGCGGUAAUACAGAGGUCUCAAGCGUUGUUCGGAUUCAUUGGGCGUAAAGGGUGCGUAGGCGGCGCGAUAAGUCGGGUGUGAAAUCUCGGAGCUUAACUCCGAAAUUGCAUUCGAUACUGCCGUGCUUGAGGACUGGAGAGGAGACUGGAAUUUACGGUGUAGCGGUGAAAUGCGUAGAUAUCGUAAGGAAGACCAGUGGCGAAGGCGGGUCUCUGGACAGUUCCUGACGCUGAGACACGAAGCUAGGGGAGCAAACGGGAUUAGAUAUCCCGGUAGUCC
RNAcentral lists this ribosomal RNA (809 nucleotides) under uncultured bacterium. RNAcentral describes it as "bacterial SSU rRNA". It matches the Rfam family "Bacterial small subunit ribosomal RNA", at positions 8 to 796 of the family's 1533-position model. The record is from RNAcentral.